GGGCCCGCACAAGCGGUGGAGCAUGUGGUUUAAUUCGAUGAUACGCGAGGAACCUUACCAGGGCUUAAAUGUAGUAUGACCGGCUUGGAAACAGGCCUUCUCUUCGGAGCAGAUUACAAGGUGCUGCAUGGUUGUCGUCAGCUCGUGCCGUGAGGUGUUAGGUUAAGUCCUGCAACGAGCGCAACCCCUAUUCUUAGUUGCCAGCGGUUCGGCCGGGGACUCUAAGAAGACUGCCAGCGCAAGCUGAGAGGAAGGUGGGGAUGACGUCAAAUCAUCACGGCCCUUACGUCCUGGGCUACACACGUGCUACAAUGGUAGAGACAGAGGGCAGCCACCUGGUGACAGGGAGCGAAUCCUUAAACUCUAUCUCAGUUCGGAUUGUCGUCUGCAACUCGACGGCAUGAAGUCGGAAUCGCUAGUAAUCG
RNAcentral lists this ribosomal RNA (425 nucleotides) under uncultured bacterium. Its description in RNAcentral is "bacterial SSU rRNA". It matches the Rfam family "Bacterial small subunit ribosomal RNA", at positions 917 to 1344 of the family's 1533-position model. The record is from RNAcentral.